This 301-nucleotide ribosomal RNA is filed under the name uncultured bacterium. RNAcentral describes it as "partial 16S ribosomal RNA". It matches the Rfam family "Bacterial small subunit ribosomal RNA", at positions 509 to 808 of the family's 1533-position model. The record is from RNAcentral.
CAGCAGCCGCGGUAAUACGUAGGUCCCGAGCGUUGUCCGGAUUUAUUGGGCGUAAAGCGAGCGCAGGCGGUUAGAUAAGUCUGAAGUUAAAGGCUGUGGCUUAACCAUAGUACGCUUUGGAAACUGUUUAACUUGAGUGCAAGAGGGGAGAGUGGAAUUCCAUGUGUAGCGGUGAAAUGCGUAGAUAUAUGGAGGAACACCGGUGGCGAAAGCGGCUCUCUGGUCUGUAACUGACGCUGAGGCUCGAAAGCGUGGGGAGCAAACAGGAUUAGAUACCCGUGUAGUCCCUGUCUCUUAUACC